GAUGAAGAACGUAGCGAAAUGUGAUAAGUAGUGUGAAUUGCAGAAUUCAGUGAAUCAUCGAAUCUUUGAACGCACAUUGCGCCCCUUGGUAUUCCAUGGGGCAUGCCUGUUCGAGCGUCAUUUGUACCUUCAAGCUCUGCUUGGUGUUGGGUGUUUGUCUCGCCUCUGCGUGUAGACUCGCCUCAAAACAAUUGGCAGCCGGCGUAUUGAUUUCGGAGCGCAGUACAUCUCGCGCUUUGCACUCAUAACGACGACGUCCAAAAGUACAUUUUUACACUCUUGACCUCGGAUCAGGUAGGGAUACCCGCUGAACUUAAGCAUAUCAAUAAGCGGAGGA
This 337-nucleotide unclassified non-coding RNA is filed under the name soil metagenome. Its description in RNAcentral is "partial contains 5.8S ribosomal RNA, internal transcribed spacer 2, and large subunit ribosomal RNA". The stretch from base 1 to 120 matches the Rfam family "5.8S ribosomal RNA", at positions 35 to 154 of the family's 154-position model. The record is from RNAcentral.